ACGUAGGUGGCAAGCGUUGUCCGGAUUUAUUGGGCGUAAAGCGAACGCAGGCGGGAAGGUAAGUCAGCUGUGAAAGCCCCCAGCUUAACUGGGGAAUUGCAGCUGAAACUAUGUUUCUUGAGUGCAGAAGAGGAGAGUGGAACUCCAUGUGUAGCGGUGGAAUGCGUAGAUAUAUGGAAGAACACCAGUGGCGAAGGCGGCUCUCUGGUCUGUAACUGACGCUGAGGUUCGAAAGCAUGGGUAGCGAACAGG
Molecule: ribosomal RNA, 252 nt
Filed under: uncultured bacterium
Lineage: Bacteria
Description: partial 16S ribosomal RNA
Rfam family: Bacterial small subunit ribosomal RNA
Source: RNAcentral